CGGCCGGGGCUGGCGGUUAGGGGGAGGGCCGCCGGCGGCAGUGCCGGUCUCCUCCUACAGGGACGCGCAGCCCGGGACCGCCACGCGCAGCGCGGGAGGGGGAGGGCGGGACCGGGGAACAGGAGGGGAGGGGGACCCGGGUGCUUCCAGCGGUCCGGGCCCGCGGACGGAGUGCGGGCCGAUCCCGCUCACUGUCCCCUUCCGCAGUCCGCGUGCAGCUCCAGGGAGCUGUCCGCCCCGGUGGUUCUGAACCAGGCGCCGCCGAAACGCUCCAGAUGCAGCACUGCCCUCCGGAGCUGUUGAAGAGGAGCAGGUGUUUGCAGAGACUCACAAAAAGGCCCGGCCCCAGUUGAAAGACCAGCCUUGCACUACUUUAUAAGAUGCUGCCAAUGCAGAAUUGUUCAUGAAGCACAUAGAGCUUUUCUACCUCAGCACAAACAGCAUUCACUCUUCAGGUCACUCAUCCAGGCCUGCAAGAGACGGUGAAGCAGGUUUAUUCUCCAGGCCACUUAAGUCAUCUAAAGUAUCCCCUUUUUGGGC
Molecule: long non-coding RNA, 540 nt
Organism: Homo sapiens (human)
Lineage: Eukaryota; Metazoa; Chordata; Mammalia; Primates; Hominidae
Source: Ensembl